GGAGAAAGGGUUUUUGGUUCGCCCAGAGCGACGGGAGGUCCGAAAUCACGGAGAGAGAGAGAGAGAGAGAGAGAGAGAGAGAGAGAGAGAGAGAGGAAUCCCGGGAAAUCUGUAGAGGCGGCGCCGGAGUACCAACCCUAGGCGAACCUAGGGUUUGUUGAGAGGGGCAGAGGAAUCCCGAAAAAUCUGCAGAGGCGGCGAGAGAAGAAACGGAGAGAGGGUUAGGGUUCGUUGAAAAGGAGAAAGGGUAAGGGAGAGUAGGGUGCAGAGAAGAAUAGGGCCCCACAUCUCAGAGAGAGAAAAUGAGAGAGGGUAAGAGAGAGUAGGGUGCGGGAGGUCCGAAAUCACGGAGAACGCAGGAAAGGGUUUAAGGGAGAGACCCGAAAUCACGGAGAACGCAGCAAAGGGGUUAAGGGUUCACCCUUUAAUGAUAUUGGAUAGAUACUUUCGGCGAUUCCCAGUUGUAAUAGCUUCAGUAGGUUUAGUAGAAAUAGCUUCAACAAUGUUUAUUCUAUUUUGGAUGUUUGGCCAAGACCUCGAGUUCAUGAAGGCUUUUUUUGCAUUUGGCCCUCUCAAAAAAGGUUUUUUUCAUAAAUAGUCCGAUCAAAUUUAUAAUUACAAUUUUGGUUAUAUUUCUAUCACGUAGGCGUCAUAUCAGCGCCAUUCAAGCUGGUUCGAGCUGGAUGGGGAGGGGCGUUAAGUUGAACGCGGUAAAUGGUAUACCGUGUUUCAUAUUUAUAUUUUUUCUAUUCAAAAUAUAUAUUUUUUCGCAAUACAUAUAUAUUUUUCCCUAGUCAUGGUGAACCAUUCGCCGGUAUUCAACUUAUUCCACCUCCCUCAUUUCUGCUCGCGUGGCGCUGAUAUGACGCCUGCGUGACAAGGAUAGCACUAAAAUUAUAAUUAUAAAUUUGAUAGGACUAUUUAUAAAAAUAAUUUUUUUGAGGGAUCCAAAUGCGAAAAAAAUCUCAAUUUAUAAAUUUUGUAGGACUAUUUGUAAAAAUAAAAUUUGCGAUGGGGCUAUAUACAAA
This 1028-nucleotide long non-coding RNA is filed under the name Ananas comosus (pineapple). Its description in RNAcentral is "long non-coding RNA (ACOM_LNC024285)". Lineage: Eukaryota; Viridiplantae; Streptophyta; Magnoliopsida; Poales; Bromeliaceae. The record is from RNAcentral.